AGAGGACCUCAUAGUCAAUGAAGGAGGAGAAAUAGCUGUGGAUCCAGUUGCUGUAGUUCCUCCAGUGGCGGAAGAAACAAAAUGUUAACAGAUUGUCAGAGCCCGUGUGAAGAGAUUCCUUUUCAGUUAGAAAAGAUACAACUCUUUUGUAAUGUCCUCCUUUUAGUAACAGAGUGACAAUAUUGACUCUAUAUUAAAGAGGACUAGAGCAGAGCAGAAACCUCUGUAGCUGGUGCGAAUGAAAAUAGAACAGCAGAGGGAGGGAAGUUAGGGGAAGUAUUGUAAGGGGAAGAAGAAAGACGAGAGAUCUCUUCUCUGAUUGUAGAGAUCUUGUCAGUGAAGUGAGUUGCAAAGUCUGUGGCGGUCAAGUUAGUAGGUGGAAGAGGAACAGCAGGGCGAAGAAGAGAGUUAAAUGUGCGAAAUAGUCGUUUGGGUUCGCGGGAGAGUGUGGUUAUGAGGGUAUUGAAGUAAUUAACUUUUGCAGAGGAAAGAGCCAAGCUGUAUGAGUUCAGCAUAAAUUUAUAGUGGAGAAAGUCAGAUGCACAGUGAGACUUUCUCCAACAGCGUUCAGCAGUUCUUGAGCAUUUUUGGAGGUAUCGAGUGAGCUUGUUUCAUCAAAAGCGGUAAGAGAGAAUUAAUGGGAGAAUUAUGGAUAUAAAGUUACAAUGCCCCCUAUAUUGUCUAUGGAGUGGAUUAUAUUUAUCAAUACUUUUAAUUUCACAGCCAGCUAUGUCUAAAUAUCAAACAUUUAUUAUGCAGAUUACAGAAAUAAUAUUUAUUAAUGAUAAAUAAAAACCACAGCAAUUCCAAAUUUUCUAACAUAUAACGCACAAACUCGACAAAUACCCCAAAGAGCUUGCAAUCUUUUGCCGUUUCCUUUGCUGUACGUUGAUACCCUACCUGAUCUGUAAUAUACCGUGGGGUUACUGUAUUACAGAUCCAAGAUUGGAAAGAUGAAGACAAACACAGUCUUUCUGCUUCUGGGUUUAGGUGAGUUUUGUGAAAUUCUAAUAUUGACAAUGCAAAUCUGGGGUUUUAAAUGUGUUCAAUAAAUAAUCAAAGUAGCAAAAAAAAAAAAAAGGAAUUCUAUAAAUCAAUCUUAACAUUCAUUUCACCAUGCAUUUCGUUCAGAUAUGGGAUUUUAAAAUAAUGACAAAAUACAGUUUAUUUUAAAUGAAGCAAUUUUCAGAAAGGUAAUUUAAAUAACUCUGACAUAGCAAGAACAUUGUUUGCAGUCCCUCUGAGAGCCCUGCCUGAACGUAUUCUAAGAUACAUUUGUUUAAACAGGAAGUCGAUAAAUAAAAAGAAAGUUACUUUCUCUGGUAAUUAAUAUAUCACAUACUAUUGUCAUUAAGAAAAUAGUCACCAUGUUUAUUCCUUAAAUAAGAUAUUUAAAGGGACACUAGUCACCCAGACCACUUCAGCUCAAUGAAGUGGUCUGGGUGCCAGGUCCCUCAGGUUGUAACCCUGCAGAUGCAAACAUAGCAGUUUCAGAGCUGACGGGGAGAAUAUUUUCUAAUGUGAAUUCCUGACGAUUCUCGUUUUAGUAAAUAACCGUGUUUAUAUUUUCUCUGGAUACCUGGCAAUGCACAGAUUAUUGAAUAACCCUGUAAAUUAACUCUUAUUAGGUGUGAUUAAUCUCUUAUGAGGUUAUAUUAGUAUCAGAUCUGUAAAUGAGCAAGCUGUACUUACUUUCAUUAUUGGGUUUGUUUAAGCAUGCAGUGUUAUUGCCAUCUGUAUAAUAAACUGAUCUCCUGCUCUUUUAGUUCUGUGUCUGGCGCUGGUCAGUC
Molecule: long non-coding RNA, 1790 nt
Filed under: Pelobates cultripes (western spadefoot toad)
Lineage: Eukaryota; Metazoa; Chordata; Amphibia; Anura; Pelobatidae
Source: RNAcentral